GUAUCGGUGUAGACCAUGUGGCACGGA
This 27-nucleotide non-coding RNA is filed under the name Cricetulus griseus (Chinese hamster). Lineage: Eukaryota; Metazoa; Chordata; Mammalia; Rodentia; Cricetidae. The record is from RNAcentral.